This 381-nucleotide ribosomal RNA is filed under the name uncultured eukaryote. RNAcentral's name for it is "partial 18S ribosomal RNA". It matches the Rfam family "Eukaryotic small subunit ribosomal RNA", at positions 592 to 976 of the family's 1831-position model. The record is from RNAcentral.
CAAUAGCGUAUAUUAAAGCUGUUGCGGUUAAAAAGCUCGUAGUUGGAUUUCUGUCAAGGACAACUGGUCCGCCCUCCGGGUGAGCACAUAGUUUGGUCUUGGCAUCUUGCUGGAAACUGUUGCUGCGCUUGGUUGUGUGGUGCAGCUUUCAGCACUUUCACUUUGAGGAAAUUGGAGUGUUUCAAGCAGGCACAUGCCUUUGGACACAGUAGCAUGGAAUAAUUAGAUCGGGCUUUUGCUCCAACUUGUUGGUUCCUGGAGCUGAGGUGAGAAUCAAUGGGGAUUGUUGGGGGCAUCCGAAUUUAGCCGUCAGAGGUGAAAUUCUUGGAUCUGCUAAAGACGGACAACUGCGAAAGCGUUUGCCCAGGAUGUUUUCAUUGA